GGGGGAGGGAGGGUGAAGCCUGGUAGAUUAGAGCAGUUGGGUCGUUGCUUAGUGGGUAGAUGGGAUAAGGUGGAGAACCAUCCUCCUGCGUUGGUUUUUCUGAAAAACUGGGCUGUCCACGCUUGGCUCCUCAAAGGAAAGCUGGACAUAGCUGUAAUGGGAGGUGGGCUAUUGCUAUUUGAGUUCGAAUUGAUGAGUGAGGCCGAGCGUGUUCUUGCUAGAGGGAAGAGAAAGGUUCUAGGCAGUGUUUUAAUGAUGGAAAGAUGGCACCCGGAGGUGGGGUGUUUCAGCAAUGGUGUUUUUGCUAGAGAGGUAUGGGUGAGAGUGGUAGGUCUUCCCCUUCAUUUAUGGAAUCGAGAGGUGUUUAAGUUGAUAGGAGAUGGUUGUGGUGGGUUCAUUGCUGUGGACAACAAGACGGAAUCAAUGGCAGAGCUGCAAUGGGCUAGAUUGUUGGUGAAAUCGGUGGGCAGGGACACACCUUCCUCCGUCCAGAUUGUGGAUGAGAUGGGGUGCUUCUCAGUCCAGCUGUGGUGGGAAUCCCCACCUUGGUUCUCUCAGGUGGUGCCGGCGGGAAGUGCUCUCGGGAAAGGGGAUGCAGUGGCUGUAGAAGUUGCAGGGAGUGGGUCUCGUGAAGAGUGUAGAGGAGGCGUGAUCGUGAAGGUUGGACAGCCGAUGGAGCAGAGGGGAGCAGGUGAGCCGCCCUGUGGUAGUUCUUCAAAAGGGAUUACAGGCUGUCCAUAUGAGUUGGCUGGUAGGGGGCCUGGAAAGGAGGUGACUGAUGGAGAAGACAACUGCGGGAUCAGUAGUCGAGGGGGAGGGAAGUUAGCAAACAUGCGAGGUUUUAAAUCUGGGCCAGCUGCUUGUGUUUUUGGGCCCGAUUGGGAGGCCCAAGCCAGGAGCGGGCUUGGAGAUGGUGGUCUUAAGUCAGAAUUUGUGGGAGUCCAGACGUUUGGGCCAGAUUGUGAGCCCAGGCCCAUCACCUUAAAAGGGUGGGUAAUGGGCUGCGAGGAAAGGCCUUUCCUCAUAAAGGGGUCGAUCGAGGGCUGCGAAGAGAGGGCCGACAUAGGUUUUGAACCGGUGUUGGGGGGAUUAAGAGAAAAUAGGGCUUCUCCUCGUGCCGAGGUCGGGGGGAUGGAGAUUAGGGCUUCGAUGGAAGCUUCGGGUGGCCAAGUUAAGGAAGACGGGGGGAUCGCUUGCAUCCUUGGAGGAGAUUGGAGGGAUUCCGAGUCUCUAAUGGCGAAGGCGAGAGCGCGGAUGUCCGAAGAAGCGCUGCUAGCUGAAGCAUCCAAGUACGAGCCCGUCAUCGAUGUUCUUGGGGGGGUUCGGGUCCACUUCUCUUCUUCUUUUCUUUCUGGGUGCGAUCGGGCUAUGGUGGUGGGGGUUGUUAGGGAUCCGGUAGUUAUUGACGAAGGAGAUGGGUAUCAUGCUCCGUUGCGAGCGUUGUUGACUGAUGGCAGGCCGUGGGAGACGAGUACAGAGGGGGGAAAGAACAGGGGUGUCAGGUCAAAGGAGAGUGAGGAUCUGGAGGAAGAAGAGGACCAGGGCAGCGGUUGGGAUGACAGUAGCUUGGCUAAGUUCAGCAAGUCUUUGGGAUUCUCGACAGUUGGUGUUGAGGGGGAAGUUCUUAAACUUCUAUUAAGGCUGAAAUCAAGGAGGGAUCAAGGCAAGAAGAAAGGAAGUUCAGGGAUGACUAGGUUUGAUAGGGAAGUGAAAAAAUUGGAAUGGUCGAUUAAUUAUGAAGGAGAAAGCAGGAAGAAAGGCUCGGAUAGAAGAAACGGGGACAGAGCUCUGUGCCUCAAAUGAAGAUUAAAAUCCUAUCUUGGAAUGUCCGGGGGGUGAAUGACAGAAAUAAGAGGAGUUCAAUUAAGGCCUUAAUUAGAGCCCAAAAAGUGGAUUUGGUAUGCCUGCAGGAGACUAAAAUGUCUCAGAUGUCUCUAGGGGUGGUGAGAAGUCUUGGUGUGGGGAGAUUUUUAGAUUGGGGAGUUCUAAAUGCGAGAGGGGCAGCUGGAGGGGUGUUGGUUUUUUGGGACAAAAGAGUGCUGGAGCUGGAAGGGAUGGAGGUAGGUCUUUUCUCCGUCUCCUGCCGGUUCAAGAACUGUGAAGAUGGUUUUAAUUGGAUUUUUUCAGGAGUGUAUGGCCCUACAGUAAAGAGAUAUAGAGAGCUGUUUUGGGAAGAGUUAGGGGCCAUCCGCGGGCUAUGGAGCGAUGCUUGGUGUAUCAGAGGUGAUUUCAAUUUAAUUAGAUUCCCGAAUGAGAGCAGAAGAGGGGGAAGAUUGUCUUCUUCAAUGAGAAGAUUCUCGGAAGUGAUUGAUGAAUUGGAUUUGAGGGAUCUUCCCCUUCAGGGGGGUCCUUUCACCUGGAGUGGAGGCCUGAAUAAUCAAGCUAUGACCAGGUUAGACCGUUUCUUGGUGUCGGAGGAUUGGGAGGAUCACUUUAAGGGGGCGGUGCAGUGUACCCUCCCUAGGCCUGUGUCCGACCACUUCCCUAUUCUAUUGGAUGGGGGAGGGGUUAGAAGAGGUCCUGUUCCUUUUCGGUUUGAAAAUAUGUGGCUUAAGGAGGAGGGAUUUAAGGAUCUGUUGAAGGGGUGGUGGCAGAGUCUAAGCUUUAAUGGCUCGUUUAGCUUCAUCCUUGCUGAGAAGUUGAAGGCGUUGAAGGCUAUUCUAAAGUCGUGGAAUAAGGAGGUUUUUGGGCAGGUGGGUGUCAAUAAGAAAGUGGCUCUGGAC
RNAcentral lists this long non-coding RNA (2723 nucleotides) under Vitis vinifera (wine grape). Its description in RNAcentral is "long non-coding RNA (VVIN_LNC008018)". Lineage: Eukaryota; Viridiplantae; Streptophyta; Magnoliopsida; Vitales; Vitaceae. The record is from RNAcentral.